GCAUUUCCUGUGUGCGCUCUAGCUCCAUCGGGGCCCUGAUGAGUCAGCAACAAACCAUGCAUUACACAUCG
RNAcentral lists this small nucleolar RNA (71 nucleotides) under Trypanosoma rangeli SC58. RNAcentral's name for it is "Small nucleolar RNA TBR17". It matches the Rfam family "Small nucleolar RNA TBR17", at positions 46 to 117 of the family's 119-position model. Rfam says of the family: TBR17 is a member of the C/D class of snoRNA which contain the C (UGAUGA) and D (CUGA) box motifs. Most of the members of the box C/D family function in directing site-specific 2'-O-methylation of substrate RNAs. The record is from Rfam by way of RNAcentral. Lineage: Eukaryota; Euglenozoa; Kinetoplastea; Trypanosomatida; Trypanosomatidae.